ACAAACAAAACCCAAACCAAAUCUCACUCAUCUCUCAAAUUAUACACACACUUCCACAGGCCAAACACCCUCUCGGUCACCCCUCCCACUCGACAGAAGGCUGGCGGCCAAAGGCCGGUGGAGCCGUUUGCAACAACAGUGGUGAUUGGCGGUGUAUGGACGGUGGAGCGGAGGUGCGAUUACGGCGGUGGCGUGCUGUUUUUGCGACAGAAGACGGCGGCGGUGGUGGUGGAUUGUUGGUGGUUCGAGUGUUGUUGUGGGGCGAAAGGAAAUCGAAGAUGUUGAUGAUCUGAUUUUGUGGUGGUUUGGUUUUACGGUGACAGAUGUGGUGAUUCGUGACUUUCCGACGAGGUGAACGACGGCAAUUCAAGUAUUCAAACGAGGGUUCUUGGUUGCGGUAGUUUUUGGAAUUGGGGAUUUUGGCUCCAUACGCGGCUUCCCUCUUCGUUGCUACUGGAGCAUCAUCAGGCGACAGGUGUGGUUCUGACUGAGGUAUUGAAAAUUUGAAAUGUUUGUUACAUGUGUUUCUUAGUGUGUUAGGUUUUAAUAUGUGUUGAUUGAUGAUGAGGUUUUGAGCUUUAUGUUGAUGGAAUGUUAAAUUUGUAGUUGUAAGAGCAUACGUAAUGGGGCUCCAUAUACCGCCUAAAAGAAAGAUAGCGCCCCCAUAGCGCCCCGCACACCGCGACGGGCGGCGUUAUGGGGAAAAAAAGGGGGGCAGGCGCGAUAUUUUUCACGGGGUUAUGGGGGAAGCUUUUCAACCUUUGACCAAUGAAAAUAAAGCAUGGGUUUUUAUAAAUAAUUAAUAAAAAUGAAAAUUAAUAAUUAGGUAAUGAUGGGUAGGGGCGUUAUGACUACGGGCUCAAGUGAUAUAACGCCCCAUAAAGCCCCUGUGUGACGUGGCACGACACAUGUCGCAUAACGCCCCACAAGGGGCUUUAUGACUACGGAUGGCCUAAGUAUGUGAAUUUUAGAGAAUAGAUGGAUAGCCAUACAAACUAGGCAUGGAUUUAAGAUAUGUGGUUCUUAUUCAGUAUAAUCUCAACUAUGGAUGGUGUGGUUAGCAUCUAAGAUGUGACUUUCAAAGGUUACGGUUUCGAGGUUGGUAGUUGGUGGUUGAGAUCAUACUCACAGGAAACGUAGAUCCCCCCUCGAAUCCCGAAUCGGUUCAGCUGUACUAGAAUUGGGUACAGAAUCGAAUCGUUCGGCCUGGGUUCGCCGUAAGUCAACUCAAGACUGCUUGUCGUAUGUCCACGUGUGGUGAAAUACAGUUAGAAGGAUGUUAUGUGAAGUACAAUAAUACAUCAUUUUUUGGGGCCCCGGAUAAGAUGGAGGUGUGCAGGAGAUGUGGUCCUUCAGUUGGCUAUAAUUCGGAUGUUUUGAACCGUAUAGACAGUGCGUUGGCAUUUCUGGUAGGCGGGAAUGGAGAAUACUUUCGCGAGGGUGAUUUUGGUAGCAUACAAGGUGUGGCACAGUGCAUACAAGAUCUGAGUUUAAGUGAUUGUCAAGAUUGUCUUUCAGAGGCAACUAGACGGUUGAGAUCAGUGUGUGAGACAUCAAGCUGGGGGUGAUAUGUACCUUGGAAAAUGUUAUAUCCGAUAUGCUGAUCAAGGUAUAUAUAUAUGUCUGUUUUUGAUGACGAUGGGUAAUAUUUAUCAUAUUUAUAUAGCAUAAAGUAUUCAUGAGUUAGUGCAGGUACUGUAAAUCUUGCUAAUAUCGGUGACUCUACUUCCAAUGAAAGUAGUGGCGGAGGGAUAAGCGUGUUGGACAUAAUCAACACUAUUUCCAGUUUUAGCUCCAUAUUGGGCACGCUCAGUGUGACUUUUGUUUGCAAUAAAAAAGGUGUAUUACUAGAAUAAUUAGUAUAGCCAUUCAAAGCAAGCCAGGGUAUAUAAGUUAAUUUCUCUUUGUAUUUAUCGUACAUUUUUUUUUAAAUGAGUUAGGUAGAAUAUUGAAUGUAAAAGACAUAAUAUUGGCUGGCUUUUUUUGACCUAAUUAUUUUAGGGCGGCAAUUGAUAACCAUCAACAAUAUAUCACAAUAAUCGUUCCGGAUCACUAGAAAACGUGUUUCCGAUUGAAAAAUUUAUCGUUUCGGAACGAUUCGAUUCGCGUACCAAUCAAUAGAUGAACUAGGUGGUUAGAUGAAAUGACCUCUUCAAGUCCUUAUACUUACAUUGCUUGGUAUAGAUAUCCAUUUUUUACACGUAUAUAUAUCGGGUGAACCCUUUUUUAGAUUUUUUUUCCCUAGAACGACUUCUUUCAACCUGGGCCUGUUUUGGUCCGAACCCUUUUCACCAGUAGUAAUCUAACAUGACCACCUAUUUUUGCCAGGCUUACUUUAGAGUAAUAUCUUUAACAUUUUAUCAUCUCAUUUCAGUUCACAGAAGCAUUUGGAAAGUUCUAUGGUAGCUCAAAACAACGAACUGACAAUGAUAAAGGUCGUCCGGGUGUUCAUGACAACCGAGUGAAGUGCAUAAUUUUUCCAUUGUAACCUUCUUAUUUCAUUUUUUUAAUCUUCAUUUUACCUUAGCUGCGGGUGAGAAUCCGGACUGGUACACAGAGUUUCUACCUAUCUCCGAAAGGUCACAAGAACUUAACUUCCAAACCUGGAAAAAGAUAAAAAACGAGAACACAACAUUGACUACCAGAUGUGGUAAUAUGACAAGUUUUUUUAUGAAUGGGUCAAUUUGGUUAUGUAGAUUAGAUAUUUAGAUUAUAAGGAAUGUAAUCAGACGAGUCGAGUAACAAUUAAUGUUUGAUUUAACUUUACAACUCA
Long non-coding RNA from Helianthus annuus (common sunflower), 2773 nucleotides. RefSeq lists it as uncharacterized. The record is from RefSeq and is a predicted model, not a curated record. The transcript is spliced from 2 exons. NCBI's taxonomy places the organism in Eukaryota, Viridiplantae, Streptophyta, Magnoliopsida, Asterales, Asteraceae.